AUGGGCACCUCUCAGGACAACUGGCACAAGCACUGCAAGAUGGUGUGUGUGUGUGUGUGUGUGUGUGUGUGUGUGUGUAAGAGGAAACGCUACCACAGGAAGCGGAAGUAUGAACUGGGACAGCCUGGGGCCAGCACUAACAUCGACCCUCACACAUUCCAUGUUUGAGGAGGCAAUAAGAAGUACCAUGCCCUGAGAUUGGAUGUGGGUAACUUUUCCUGGCCCCUGAGUGUUGUACUCGAAAAACAAGGAUCAUUGAUGUUGUCUACAAAGCAUCUAAUAAUGAGCUUGUCUGCACCAAGACCCUGACAAAGAACAGCAUCGUGCUUAUUGACACCACACCAUACUGGCAGCGGUUCGAGUCCCACUAUGCACUGCCCCUGGGCCAACAAAGAAGGGGGCCAAUCUGACUCCUGAGGAGGAAGAGAUUUUAAACAAAAACCGAUCAAAGAAUACUCAAAAGAAAUAUGACGAAAGGAAAAAGAAUGCCAAAGUCAGCAGCCUCCUGGAGGAGCAGUCACAACACAGCAAGCUUCUUGUCUGCGUUGCCUCAAGACCAGGCCAGUGUGGCAGAGCAGACGGCUAUGUGCUCGGAAGGCAAGGAGCUGGAGUUCUAUCUGCGGAAGAUCAAAGCCCGGAAAGGCAAAUAA
This 650-nucleotide long non-coding RNA is filed under the name Mus musculus (house mouse). Its description in RNAcentral is "long non-coding RNA chr6:52118241-52118891". The record is from RNAcentral. Lineage: Eukaryota; Metazoa; Chordata; Mammalia; Rodentia; Muridae.